UACAGAGGUCCCAAGCGUUGUUCGGAUUUACUGGGCGUAAAGGGCGCGUAGGCGGCGUGACAAGUCACUUGUGAAAUCUCCGGGCUUAACUCGGAACGGUCAAGUGAUACUGUCGUGCUAGAGUGCGGAAGGGGCAACUGGAAUUCUUGGUGUAGCGGUGAAAUGCGUAGAUAUCAAGAGGAACACCUGCGGCGAAGGCGGGUUGCUGGGCCGACACUGACGCUGAGGCGCGAAAGCUAGGGGAGCGAACGGG
This 253-nucleotide ribosomal RNA is filed under the name uncultured bacterium. RNAcentral describes it as "partial 16S ribosomal RNA". It matches the Rfam family "Bacterial small subunit ribosomal RNA", at positions 524 to 776 of the family's 1533-position model. The record is from RNAcentral.